UACGAAGGGGGCUAGCAUUGCUCGGAAUCACUGGGCGUAAAGCGCACGUAGGCGGGUUGUUAAGUCAGAGGUGAAAUCCUGGAGCUCAACUCCAGAACUGCCUUUGAUACUGGCGACCUUGAGUUCGAGAGAGGUUGGUGGAACUGCGAGUGUAGAGGUGAAAUUCGUAGAUAUUCGCAAGAACACCAGUGGCGAAGGCGGCCAACUGGCUCGAUACUGACGCUGAGGUGCGAAAGCGUGGGGAGCGAACAGG
RNAcentral lists this ribosomal RNA (253 nucleotides) under uncultured bacterium. RNAcentral describes it as "partial 16S ribosomal RNA". It matches the Rfam family "Bacterial small subunit ribosomal RNA", at positions 524 to 776 of the family's 1533-position model. The record is from RNAcentral.